Molecule: ribosomal RNA, 430 nt
Filed under: uncultured bacterium
Lineage: Bacteria
Description: bacterial SSU rRNA
Rfam family: Bacterial small subunit ribosomal RNA
Source: RNAcentral
GUGGGGAAUAUUGCACAAUGGGCGAAAGCCUGAUGCAGCAACGCCGCGUGAGGGACGACGGCCUUCGGGUUGUAAACCUCUUUUAGUAGGGAAGAAGCGAAAGUGACGGUACCUGCAGAAAAAGCACCGGCUAACUACGUGCCAGCAGCCGCGGUAAUACGUAGGGUGCAAGCGUUAUCCGGAAUUAUUGGGCGUAAAGAGCUCGUAGGCGGUCUGUCGCGUCUGCUGUGAAAACUGGAGGCUCAACCUCCAGCCUGCAGUGGGUACGGGCAGACUAGAGUGCGGUAGGGGAGAUUGGAAUUCCUGGUGUAGCGGUGGAAUGCGCAGAUAUCAGGAGGAACACCGAUGGCGAAGGCAGAUCUCUGGGCCGUAACCGACGCUGAGGAGCGAAAGCGUGGGGAGCGAACAGGAUUAGAAACCCCAGUAGUCC